Molecule: signal recognition particle RNA, 99 nt
Filed under: Anaerolineae bacterium
Lineage: Bacteria; Bacillati; Chloroflexota; Anaerolineae
Also listed under: 1 other name
Description: signal recognition particle sRNA small type
Rfam family: Bacterial small signal recognition particle RNA
About the family: The signal recognition particle (SRP) is a universally conserved ribonucleoprotein involved in the co-translational targeting of proteins to membranes. Archaeal SRP consists of a 7S RNA and homologues of the eukaryotic SRP19 and SRP54 proteins. In most bacteria, the SRP consists of a 4.5S RNA and the Ffh protein (a homologue of the eukaryotic SRP54 protein).
Source: RNAcentral
GACUGGGUCCCUGGCGGCGAGGGCCGUCGAACCGGGUCAGGUCCGGGAGGAAGCAGCCCUAAGGCGUCUCCCUCGGGUGCCCAGGAUCACCUGGUGGCC